AAAACCUUCAAAAAUUGCUGGGGGGGGUACCAUUUUCCUCCAUGAUGUUAGCGGCGGACGGGUGAGUAACACGUGGGUACCUUGCCUUGCUAAGACUUGGGAUAACUUCCGGGAAACCGGGGCUAAUACCGGAUGGUUGUUUUGAACCGCAAUGUUUUCAAAAAUAAAAGGGGGCUUUGGGCCUACCACUUUAAAGAGUGGCCCCGGCGGCGCAUUACCUUAGUUUGGCUGGGAUAACGGCCUCCCCAAGGCGACUGAUGCUGUAGCCAACCUUGAAGAGGGUGACUUCCCCACACUUGGGACUGAAACACGCCCCAAACCCCUACGGGAGGCAGCAGGGGGAACCUCCCCCAAUGGACAAAAGUUUGACGGACCACGCCCCGUGAGAAAAGAAGGUUUUCGGACCAAAAAACCUCUGUGUUGGAGAAAAACAAGCGCUUUUCAAAUAGGGGGCACCUUUAACGCCCUACCAAAAAGCCGCGUUUACUUCGGUGCACGAACCCCNUGAAAAAAACACUAGGAUGGGAAAGCGUUUCUCCAAAAAAUAUUGGGCAAAAAAAAGGGCUUUCCUAGGCGGCUCCUUAAAGUUCGAAAGAAAAAGCCCCCCGCUCUAAAACCGGGGGGAUGAG
Molecule: ribosomal RNA, 629 nt
Filed under: uncultured bacterium
Lineage: Bacteria
Description: partial 16S ribosomal RNA
Rfam family: Bacterial small subunit ribosomal RNA
Source: RNAcentral